UACGUAGGCAGCGAGCGUUGUUCGGAAUUACUGGGCGUAAAGAGUGUGUAGGCGGUGCUCUAAGUUUGGUGUGAAAUCUCCCGGCUCAACUGGGAGGGUGCAUCGAAUACUGGAAUGCUAGAGGGUGGGAGAGGUAAGCGGAAUUCCUGGUGUAGCGGUGAAAUGCGUAGAUAUCAGGAGGAACACCUGUGGUGUAGACAGCUUACUGGACCAUUUCUGACGCUGAGACACGAAAGCGUGGGUAGCAAACGGG
Molecule: ribosomal RNA, 253 nt
Filed under: uncultured bacterium
Lineage: Bacteria
Description: partial 16S ribosomal RNA
Rfam family: Bacterial small subunit ribosomal RNA
Source: RNAcentral